GACAAACGCUGGCGGGGUGCAUGAGACAUGCAAGUCGAACGAGGUGCCAUCGGGCUUGCUCGAUGGCUACCUAGUGGCGGACGGCUGAGUAACGCGUAGGUGACCUACCCGGAAGUGGGGAAUAACUGCCCGAAAGGGUGGCUAAUACCGCAUGUGGUCGGCGAUUCGAUUCGCCGUCUAAAGGAGCAAUUCGCUUCCGGAGGGGCCUGCGUCCGAUUAGCUAGUUGGUGGGGAACGGCUCACCAAGGCGACGACGGGUAGCUGGUCUGAGAGGAUGGCCAGCCACAUUGGGACUGAGACACGGCCCAGACUCCUACGGGAGCAGCAGUGGGGAAUAUUGCGCGAUGGACGAAAGUCUGACGCAGCGACGCCGCGUGUGGGAUGACGGUCUUCGGAUUGUAAACCACUGUCGGGAGGGACGAAUACGCCGCAAGGCGGGUGACGGUACCUCCAAAGGAGCACCGGCUAACUCCGUGCCAGCAG
Molecule: ribosomal RNA, 483 nt
Filed under: uncultured bacterium
Lineage: Bacteria
Description: bacterial SSU rRNA
Rfam family: Bacterial small subunit ribosomal RNA
Source: RNAcentral